GACGAACCGUGCGAACGUUGUUCGGAAUCACUGGGCUUAAAGGGCGCUUAGGCGGGCUGUCAAGUCUGGGGUGAAAUGCCGCGGCUCAACCGUGGAACUGCCUCAGAUACUGACGGCCUCGAGGGAGGUAGGGGCGUGCGGAACUGUAGGUGGAGCGGUGAAAUGCGUUGAUAUCUACAGGAACUCCGGUGGCGAAAGCGGCGCGCUGGACCUCUUCUGACGCUGAGGCGCGAAAGCUAGGGGAGCAAACGGG
Molecule: ribosomal RNA, 253 nt
Filed under: uncultured bacterium
Lineage: Bacteria
Description: partial 16S ribosomal RNA
Rfam family: Bacterial small subunit ribosomal RNA
Source: RNAcentral